RNAcentral lists this non-coding RNA (8998 nucleotides) under Cordylochernes scorpioides. The record is from RNAcentral. Lineage: Eukaryota; Metazoa; Arthropoda; Arachnida; Pseudoscorpiones; Chernetidae.
AUUGUAAGAAAUCAAUGAAUGCUAUGGUACAUAGUGGGCUAAAAAGAAAGGAAAAUGCGCCUAAACGAAUUCUACUCGAGAUAAGAAAUGAAAUCGAGGGAGUUCUAUUAAGGCUUUUGAAAUCAAAAUAAAAAUAAUAUAAAAAUAGUUGAAUGAAAUCAAAAUUGAAUGUGUUUGGUUGAAAAAAAAAAUUGUUUUGUUGCAUGGUGAUAAGGGAAGAUGCCUAGUUACUUUUUGCUCGAAUUUUGGAAAAGAAUUCGAGGAAAUUUCAUAAGGUCGUUUGAAAUCAAAAUAAAAAUAAAAUAAAAAUAGUUGAAUGAAAUCAAAAUUGAAUGUGUUUGGUUGAAAAGGAAAAAUAUUUUGUUGCAUGGUGACAAAGACAAAUGCUUAGUUACUUUUUUGCUCGAAUUUUGAGAAAAGAAAUCGAGGAAAUUUCAUAAGGUCUUUUGAGAAAUCAAAGUAAAAUAAAAAGUUGAAAGAAAUCAAAGUGAAUGCUUGAUGCAUGGUGGAAAAAAAAAGGAAAAAUGCCUAACCAUAUUCUCGCUCGAAAUUGGGAAUGGAAAACGAGGGAUUUUUAUUAGGGCUUUUGAGAAAUCAAAAAAUAAUUAAAAAUAAAAAGUUGGAGGAAAUCAAAAAUAAUAUAAAAGUUGGGAGAAAUCAAAGUAAAUAUUUUGUUGCAUGGUGAAAAAAGGAUAGAAAAAAAAAGAAUGUUUUUGUAAAUCAAAAUGAAAUAUAAUAUCCAAUUUUGAAAGAAAACCAAUGAGUUUUUGUUGAUUGGAAACUAUGAUAACAUAACUAAGUGGUAAAUAUAUGAUAAUUAAUGAUUAAAAGUGAUGUUAAGUUGAAUAGAUUGAUAAAUUGAUUGAAUAUUUACAUUUUUAAUUGAGAGAAAAUAAUGAAAAUGAUUGAUAUGAAAAAUAAGGUGUAUUGGUUUGAACCCUUUGGUAUCUACAUGCCCUGAUCUAAAUGUAUUGAUUGCUCCAUUUUGCCCUAUAAAUGUUUUAAUUGCUCAAUUAUGCCCUAUAAAUUUUUUGUCUCAUCUGUAGCGACACUUAGGUGAAAACGUGAUUCUAGCCCUCAAGUGCGUUUAUGUUAUGUGUACAGGAGACAUGGAAAUCUAUAUAACCUUUAUGUGUAAUUUUUUGUCUUUGUGUGUGUUGUGAAAAAAUGUUAGAAGUCUGUUGUGUAAGAAAUGUGUGAGCUAGUUCUAUGUGUUGUCUUGUGGAUGUGGAAUUGGGUGGUAAAAAUCGAUAUGUAGACUCGAACUGGAAUCAAAAAUCGGUGGCAUAGCGAGGUUCCCAGUUGACCUCAAUAGGGGACCUUCUCAUUGUAAUUAGAGAUACGGAAGUGGGGUGUGUCGGGCAAAAGAGAGGGAAUGAAAUUGGAGAUCGGACGAGGCGCUCCGCUUUGUUUGCAGAGGCCGAAUUUAUCGCCGCGGACUACACUUCCUGUCGUAGUGUCUCAAAAUUCUCAUUUCCUGCCGUCUAUUUAUUUUGGGGUGUGGCUCGGGGCUUGUUUUUGGAGUACGACUUCUCCGACAUUGGUUGGUCAUCUUUUUCAGUUACUGCUAUCUCUUCGGAGUUUAUUUAGAUUUUCUGCGAAGAUGGUUCCUAAAAUUAUGAGAAGUUUUAUAAAUGUUUGUCCACAAUGAAGAACUGCUUGUCCAAAAUUAAAAACUGCUUGUCCACAAUGAAAAACUGCUUGCCCAAAAUUAAAAACUGCCUCUUGUAGUUUGAAAAUUUUAUGAGCGGACAUGGUAUAGAUAAAUAAAUAGUUAAGGAAUAAAAUUGGUAUACAUUUGUAUGGUAGAACUAACAAACAAAGGAUGAAAAUCAGAUGAAAAAUAGGGUAUUGCCCCAUGUUCGUCCAUAUUUUUGUAACUGGGGACUCUGAAAUAUUUGCUUGAACCUUAUUAAUUGUAGAAUUUGAAUGAUUGGUAGGUUCGCAGUUCUCCUGUUUGAUAUCUUUAGGGGGUGGUGUGAUAUGAUUGAGCUGGUUGUCAGGUUUGCAGUUUUUAACAUCGGGGAAGAGUGAUGUAAAUCGUCUUGUUGCAAAAAUGGCAGGGUCUAAAUGCCUGAAAGGUUCGCUGCGGGUGGGUUUGAACCUUAAUGACUCUGUUGGGAAUAAUUCGGGUGUUAAAUGUUUGAAAGGGAACGUGUAAUUGGGGUUGUGCUUUAUAUGAUAUGUGCUAACGGCGGGUGGUGAUAUAUAAUGGAUUUUUUCUGUAUACAGUUUAAGUUUGUUGACGUGGAUUGUGUCAGUGUCUCUUUGAAGUGGUUGAUUUGGUCGAUCUAUGCGGACCACAUUUGGUGAAAUAAUUUCUAAUAUUGUGUGAGGUCCUGUGAAAUAUGGCGCAAGUUUCCCUGUAUUUGGGUGGUGAUAUAAUUUUACUAACACUAGAUCACCUACUUCAAAAUGUGGUUGCUUGUGUCGUUGGUCAUAAGUGUUUUUGUCUUGUAAAUGUUUGUUUUGUGUGCGUGUGUGUGCAAUUUUUCUAGCUUUGUCGAUAUCUGGGUACGGUGUUUUAUGAUUAGAGAUUUCUGGGGGUAGGAUACCAAACAUUAAGUAUAUGGGUGGAAAACCUGUGGUAGAGUGGGGUGUCUUGUUAUAUAUAAGUGUAACCUUCUUGACCAACUUGGUCCAUGCGACCUUAGGAUUUUCUAGGUGUAAUAACCUAAGUUUUCCCGUGAGGGUGGCGUUCAGGCGUUCACAUAGACCGUUGGCCUGUGGAUUGUUGCUGGUUGUGAGUAAUGGGUGAAUAUUUCUAUUAAGUAGGAAACUACGAAAUUUUGGCGAAGUGAAAGCAGGGGCUCUAUCCGUAAGAAGGCGUUUUGGAGAGCCAUCCUGUAAUACUCGUUUAAGUACCUGUUGGUAGGUGAUGAUGCUGGUGGAUUUAGAUGGAAAAGUCCACGCGUAGCGCGAAAAAUGAUCGACUACCACAUGGAGGUAUAUCUUGGUGUUGCUAUAUUUGGUAAAUCCUGCUAUGGUGUCCAGAGAUAAAAGGUCGAAGGGUUCUUUAGAUUCCGGAGGUUGACUUAAUUCUCCGUAAGUGGGUCCUACUGGACGUUUUGUUAAUUGGCAGGUGGGACAGGUCUUAACCUUUUGUUUAAUAUCUUUGGACAUACCUUGCCAGUAAUAUUGCGUGGAUAUGAGUCGUGACAUUUGUGAAAUACCGGGGUGAUUGUAUUGUGUGUGUACUGUUUGUAAGAGUUGUUGUAUGAGUGGUUUUGGAAGUAUAAUCUUGGUUACACCUUUUCGGGAAACUGUAUGUAAUCCAUUAUGAUCAAUGGUCAAACUAGACUCUUUCGAUGGAGGAGGUUGGUGGGUCUUGAUAAGGGUGGCGUCCAAGAAUCCACAAAACGGGUUACGGGACAAGAGAUCUGCUUCAUAUUGUAGUUUUCCCUUUAUGUAGCGGACCUCAUAUUCGUAACUCGAUAGUCGUAAACUCCAUCGAAACAGUCUGCCGGACGGGUUCUUGAUGGUUUUCAACCACUGCAAUGCGUGAUGGUCAGAAAAUAUAGUAAAUUUUCUGCCCAUAAGAUAGAUGCGAAACUUCUCCACACUCUCAACGAUUGCUAAGCACUCAAGUUCAGAGAUGGAGUAGUUUUUCUCGUGUGGGCGCAAUGUUCGGCUGAAAUACUGAGCUGGAUAUACGUUUCCGUCAGGGUGAACUUGUUUGAGAAUGCCUGCUAUACCGAGGGUGGAUGCAUCGCAAUACACUUGGCAUGGCAGACCUUCUUUGUAAAGGUGUAAAAUGGGGUGUUGUGUGAGGUUUCCUUUCAGGUCAAUGAACGCCUUUUGACAAACUUCAUUCCAGUUCCACACGACAUCCUUUUUGAGGAGGUUAUUGAGUGGUGCUCGCAAGCGAGCGUAUUCCGGAAUGAAUUUGUUAUAGACGUUCACAGCGCCUAAGAAGGAUUGUAGUGUUUUUCGGUUGUGGGGUUGUUGGAUGGCGUGGAUAAUGUCGGUGUUACGUGUGAGUGGUGUAAUUGUACCAGCUGUAAUGGUGUAACCUAGAAAAUCUAUGGAUUGUUUAAAAAAUUCGCAUUUCACGAAGUUAAGUUGUAGUUUCUCCGCUUCGCAAAAGGCGAAAAAUUGUCGCAGGUGGUUUUGAUGCUCCUCCAACGUGUUGGAGUAAAUGAUGAAAUCAUCAAAGUAAUGUGCCACACAGUCAAGUCCGUGUCUCUGUAGGACCUGACUUAUGGCUCGUUCGUAAAUUUGAGGGCUGGUUUUUAAUCCGAAAGGUAAUCGAGUGGGUUGGUAUAACCCUUCGAGGGUGGCAAAUGCUAACAGUGGUCGAGAAUCGGGGUGUAUCGGGACUUGCCAAUACGCGGAGGAUAUAUCUGCCGUGGAGAAAUAUUUGGCCUGCGCGAGGCGGUCUAGGAUAUCCUCGAUUCUCGGGAGGGGAUGGACAUCAGAGUUGAUUAGCUCGUUCACCUUCCUAUAAUCGAUACAAAACCGUUUGGUCUUGUCGCGCUUAGUGACGAGGGUGACAGGGCUCGAGAAAGGUGAAAAAGAUUGCUCUAUGAUGCCGUUCUCCAGCAUUUGUUGUAUUUGGUUACGGAUUUCUUGUUGGUCACACAUCGGAACACGAUAUGGACGUAUGGUGAUUAUUUUCUCGGAAUUCGUGGGUAUUUUUACUGGUGGAAUCCGUAAGCAUGGUACGUUGAAUUUGUCCUGUGAAAAAAUAUGAGUGUACCUUUGUAGAAGUGUUGUGAACUGUGGUGUAUAGUGAGUGUUAGGUGUUGUGUUGUAGUAUGCAUGGGGUAAAGGGUUUUGUUGUGUAUUAGUGUGAGUGUCGAGUUCGUUGUGUGGGUUGGUCAUGUGAGAGUUGUGCAACGGUGUGUGAUCACCUAUGUUUUUGGUAUGCGAGUUAUCCCGCUGUGUGGGUGCGUUUUGGACAGGUUCAUAAGUUGAAGUUGUUGUGGUUUGAUUAUUUGAGGGCAUGUAAAAAAGGCAAUUGGCUUUAGUGAAAAAGGGGCAUGUAGAUAAGUGGGUUUUUUUCAAUGAAUGCACGCAAUGGUUGUCAUAGGCGGAAAGUUGGGAUGCGGGGAAAAUUUUUUGUGACAUCGCCUGACACUGCCAGUACGUGCAUACAUUGGACACAUGAUUAAAAUGGUAGGAAAGGGUAGACAAUGGGGCGCCCAGCUGGAAUAUAGUGCAUUUAUUAAAAUCUAUGGUUAAUCUGAAUUUAUUGAGGCUAUUGAUACUAAGAAUUCCAAAUGGCAAUGGUGCAUUCACUACAUGGAAAUUCUCCUUUCGUGAUAUUUGUCCUAUUGUCAGUGGGAUAGAUAGUUUACCCAUGGUUUUUGCAAAUCCGUUUAGGGUUUGGAGGUGUAGUGAAUGUCCCUCAAGGGUUAAAUUAGGCAGGUGGGUUUUUAGCAUAUGAUAAAUAUUAUAUGGCACUAUACUCAGGCUGGCGCCUGUAUCAAUUAAAAAGGGGCAUGAUACAUUAGGGGUUAGAAAAAGUUUGACAGUCAGUUGGUUUAGGGAGCCUACCUCAGUCUCGAAAGGGCUGCUCGGCUGGGGUGUCUCUGUCUUGAUUUGGUUGUCGUGGAAUCGGAACUGGUGAUUUUGGGACCGUUUGCACUGUCCGGACUUUCUCGUGGGUCGUCGGGACUGGUCGACGUCGGCAUUCGCUGUGCCAGUGUCUCGCGCCGCAGAACUUGCAGUUGGACGGCGGAAGAGGUGCAUUCCAUGCACCUGGGCGUCGGGGUGUGCUGUGGUAACGACCCGACAUUGUGGGUGGUUGAUCUUCUCUGGGUCGCGUUAUCGGUACACUGGGCCCGUGGAUCCGCUGUACAAGUCGGAACCACUCUCCUAGGUUCUCGGGAGGCACUACGCGGACUAGGCGCUGGUCGUUGAAUGGCAGUCCUUCUGUCAGUGUCUCGAGGAUCACCUCUUGUGGAAGUCCUAGUUGCAAUCCCAUGGCGGUUUUUUCCCGGUAGUAGGUCUCUAGGUUGGCUUGUCCAGUAAGUUUCAUGGCGAAAUAUUUCGCAAAGGACGCUUCGCUUGACUCAGGGUAGAGAUCUAGGAGGAUUUGUCUCACCUGGAAAUAACUCCGGUCGGCCAGCCGAAGUUUCCUGAAGAGCUCCAGGGGUUGUCGCACCAGGUAGUUUGGCAGGCGCAGUAAUUUUUCUUGUUCUCCCAUGGAUGCGUCUUCCAUUUUUCGGUCGAACGUCUGGAAAAACUGUGUCGCGCUGUAUGUGCCGUCGAAAGGCGAGAUUGUCGCCUCCGCUCCAUCAGAAAUUUUUACUCGGGUCAGGAGCGCUGAUAGCUGGUUGACGGCGUCCGCUAGGGGCGCAGUUGUCUCUCGGCCGGUCACCUCCUGUCUUUCUCCUGCCGGUUCGCUCUCUCUUACUUCUUGCCUUCUUUCCAUUGUUUCCGUCGGACCGUCUGACUUUACGCCUAUGGGAUCCUGAUUUAAUUCCAUCUCUUUAUCCUGUCGACUUAACCGUUCUGUGACAAUAUCGUUGCGGAAUUUCUUGUUGUUCGAUUUGAAUGGUGAGGAUUGGUUGAAACGCAGUCGUUUGAGUGGAAGUUUAAGCAUACAGUUAGGAAUAAUCAGGACACGUGAUGGGGUUUGAAAAUAAAAGGCAACUGGGUUGGAGGGAAGAAAGCUUGAGAAGAGCGGAGCGGUUUUGAUUGUUCCUUAUCUAAUCACAUGGCGGUGAUUGUACUUAGCUGUGGGAUGAGCAGAGGGAGAGAGGCCUCGCGAGUAGAUGUCACCUUGUUGGAAGCGGAAUCACAACUGUCCGAACUCGGCGAGAGCCAGUGAACAACUCUAGGUGUUGUUCCUAUGAGAGCCAAAACGUUACUAACUAUUCUUUCUUUUCGAUUUAACACCAAGACUCAGUUUCUUUUUGAUUGGUCGAGAGAUGUCACAUGAUCUUUUCCUAUUGGUCGACCUAUUUAGGUGCUGUCUUCUGAUUGGACCGCGGCUCUCUUUGGUGAAAGAUAUGGCCUGCCUGAUAUAUCCGAUUUCAUCAGGAAGUGUUGGGUAGCUUGACGCUUAUAACUUCGACGGAUAUUAGAUACGUCCUGUUUUGUCAGGAAGUAUUGAGUGCUUCUUGACUAAUAUAACUUCGGCGGUCACUAGAUACGUCCGGUCUCUGCCAGGAAGUGUUGGUUUAAACUUAGCUCGCAGGGACCCGGGGUCAGAAGGUUAACUGCGACGUUAUUAAUAAAUAUGUUCUCCUCUAGAUCUACUUCCUAUGUCUUUUGUUACUUUCUUUCCUCCAGUUACCUUAUUCUUUUAUUAAAUCUUUGAAAAUCAUACAUGGUACAUACAUAGUGGGUCGGGGUUGCAUUUAAUUAUAUACAAAUUAUGACAUAUAUAUAUAUACUAUAUCACUCGAGGUUAUAUAUAUAUAUAUAUGUUGUAACACCAAGUAAGCCGACGUGUGAAUAAACUGGCAGUCGUAAGUCGUGAGGCGAAGUGUUGAGAUUCUUCCCACACGUGGACAGCAAGAAGCAGAGGUAGGGCUAAAUGUUAGUACCGAGCGGGUCGGAGACAGUCCACGGGACAGAGGUGGAGGCCAUGACACAAACUUGGAUGCCUAACACCGAGACAAGGAUAGAGAGACAGAAGCGGCCUGCGUAGAUGGACACACUGUAGCACACUCUGAGCUGACACUGCUGUGUUGACCCCGGAAGGGGCUCCUUACUGGGCGUGUCAUAUUUUUUGGCUUUGCCUCGUAGCUGUUUCCAGACCACUCUUUUGCUGUUUUUAUUUUGACGUCAUAGUUUUGAGUUUAAUUACAAAAUUUAAUAAAGAUAUAGCAUAUCAUACAAAAUAUGGGGAGUGGUAGCAAAUAGGAGCAGUGUACAUUCUAAUAGGAAGGUAAGAUCUUAUAAAUUUUUGGUUCUAACUUAACUAAUUAGAAGAUAUGUGAAAUAUACUAACAGUGUUAUUAUAUUACUAGCCGAAUGACCCGGGCAACGCCCGUGUUUUACCCGAUUGAAUGUUUUAUUCAAAAUACUAUUUGUUACAAUUAUAAAUUGGCGUCUUAAAUAAAUGCAUAUUUUAGUUAAUAACUAUAGCCUAUGUGCUUUAUCUGUCUAUGUACUGUUGGCUUCCGUAGGCGUCUCUUACUGGGAAAAAGAAAGAGAGGAUUCCAUUUGGUUUUUAACUAAUAUAUGCAUUUAUUUAAGGAGCGACCCGCUCCAACACAAUAGUUACAAAAACGAAAGAGCGAGUGGGGGGGGGGGGGGGCAAAGGUGGCGUGAUCGUAGCCAACCAAUAGGAGGGCGCCAUUCCAAAAAAAAAAAAGCAAACGGUGACAGAGACGAAAACUGAAUGAUUAGGAGAUGAAGAAUGACGCUCGUAACUGUAUAUAGAAUGUAUAUCUAAACUACGUAGAAAUCUUCAAUCCGGAUAAUAAGACAAAUGCACAAAAUUUCUGACUUCUAGGUGUCCUUGGAAAAACGGAAUAUACUAGAGAAUAGAAGUCGUAUAUUUCCUUUAAAAGGAGAAAUUUUGGAGGAAGCCGAUUCCGUAGCGUAAGGAGCAGCUAGCAUUCUAUAAAAAUGUGGUCGGGAAUAGAUUCAUUUUAAUACUUCAUUUCAAAUUUUGUGAUAAAUUCUAAAUAUAAUUUUAAACCAAACAACACUUUUACUUACACUUAACACUUUUGAUUGAGAUACUUCGUUGAAGUAGAAAUAAUUUCGCUAUGAUAUAUUUUUGUGAAAAUAGCACAAAAGUGAAUUUGUACUUGGAUCAUUUGGAUAGAUUGAGAAAAAAAAAGGUUCAUUUUCUGAUCGUGCAACUAGCUGAUGGCUUGCGCCAUCUAUCGGAAUAAAUAUCAACUAAUCGUUCAUUUUUAAAUAUUCCAGAAUUCCGAUAGAUAGCAACUUUUUGUUGCACGAUCAGGAAAUUUUUCUCAAUCUAUGAUAUCUUUGUGUGUGUGUGUAAAUUUAGAAUUCAUUAUUAAAAUUUAAUAAAUACACCUAUCCCCCGAUUUACACGGUACUUGUUUUACACGAUUUCGCUUUUACA